RNAcentral lists this long non-coding RNA (804 nucleotides) under Daphnia pulex (common water flea). RNAcentral describes it as "uncharacterized LOC124199282, transcript variant X1". Lineage: Eukaryota; Metazoa; Arthropoda; Branchiopoda; Diplostraca; Daphniidae. The record is from RNAcentral.
UUUAUCUAUGCUGAAAGAGUGAAAGGAGAAAGGUAAUGAGGAACUGCCACCAUAUCACCACUAUGGAAGGUUGAGAAAGGCGAAGCAAGCAGCCAUAAUGUUGCACCACUAUCACCCAUAAACAAGUUUCAACGAACUUGGGUAUUUACCAUGAGGUGGUCUGAAGGACAUGGAAUAGUAACCAGUUUCUACCCAUAUUUAAUUUCCAUUACAUAAAUGAAGUGUAGGUCAAAGGUUCCAGUCCUCAAGUCGACAGUCUGUUACACUGGCGAUGACAUCACUAGCAUGAUAUUUGUCACCCACCCUGCCGGCCAGUUCUCCUUUUAAUUAUGUAUCUGAAGUAGUGAUAAAGUUUUAUUGAAAAUCUUUGGCUGCCAAUCCCUGCAGUUUCCGCCUCUCAAUAGGAAGCAUACAACAAUCCUCCAAUGACAGUUAAUUUCUGCACAGUAUCAACAACAAAGAAGAAGUUCCAGUUGUUCUUCAAUAUUUAUCAUGCUAUUAUAAAAGUUUAUGUUCCCGUAGUCGCUAUACUGGUGAAAGAUUUUUUGCGUCGAAUUAUGCUGUUGCUGUUCCUUGGUGCCGGACUGCUGGUGUUGUGCACAAAAGUUACAUCCAGUUUUAAUUGUUAUUUGUGUCUAUGCAGUUAACCGUUUAUAGGUUGAAAAGGAACGGAAAAUUUCCUUGGUUUUGAAUCGCUGGUGUUGUGCUUCAUAAGUUACAUCCAGUAUUUGGUUUAAUUGCUAUUUGCGUCUAUGAAGUUAACCGUUUAUAUGUUGGAAUGAAAAAAAAUAGUAAUACGGGGAA